This 536-nucleotide ribosomal RNA is filed under the name uncultured marine eukaryote. Its description in RNAcentral is "SSU rRNA". It matches the Rfam family "Eukaryotic small subunit ribosomal RNA", at positions 34 to 569 of the family's 1831-position model. The record is from RNAcentral.
GCUUGCUUGCUCAAGNUAAGCCAUGCAUGUCUAAGUAUAAACUGCUUUAUACUGUGAAACUGCGAAUGGCUCAUUAAAUCAGUUAUAGUUUAUUUGAUGGUACUUACUUACUCGGAUACCCGUAGUAAUUCUAGAGCUAAUACGUGCGUACAUCCCGACUUCUGGAAGGGACGUAUUUAUUAGAUAAAAGGCCGACCGGGCUUGCCCGACUCGCGGUGACUCAUGAUAACUUCACGAAUCGCAUGGCCUCGUGCCGGCGAUGUUUCAUUCAAAUUUCUGCCCUAUCAACUUUUGAUGGUAGGAUAGAGGCCUACCAUGGUGGUAACGGGUGACGGAGAAUUAGGGUUCGAUUCCGGAGAGGGAGCCUGAGAAACGGCUACCACAUCCAAGGAAGGCAGCAGGCGCGCAAAUUACCCAAUCCUGAUACAGGGAGGUAGUGACAAUAAAUAACAAUACCGGGCCUUUGGUCUGGUAAUUGGAAUGAGUACAACCUAAACACCUUAACGAGGAUCAAUUGGAGGGCAAANCUGGUAANA